RNAcentral lists this ribosomal RNA (466 nucleotides) under uncultured bacterium. RNAcentral's name for it is "partial 16S ribosomal RNA". It matches the Rfam family "Bacterial small subunit ribosomal RNA", at positions 28 to 507 of the family's 1533-position model. The record is from RNAcentral.
GAUGAACGCUGGCGGCGUGCUUAACACAUGCAAGUCGAACGGAAAGGCUCCUGCCUGCAGGGGUACUCGAGUGGCGAACGGGUGAGUAACACGUGGGUGAUCUGCCCUGUACUUCGGGAUAAGCUUGGGAAACUGGGUCUAAUACCGGAUAUGACAAUCUCUUGGAUGGGGUUGUGGAAAGCUUUUGCGGUAUGGGAUGAGCUCGCGGCCUAUCAGCUUGUUGGUGGGGUAAUGGCCUACCAAGGCGUCGACGGGUAGCCGGCCUGAGAGGGUGUACGGCCACAUUGGGACUGAGAUACGGCCCAGACUCCUACGGGAGGCAGCAGUGGGGAAUAUUGCACAAUGGGCGCAAGCCUGAUGCAGCGACGCCGCGUGGGGGAUGACGGCCUUCGGGUUGUAAACUCCUUUCGCAACCGACGAAGCUUUUGUGACGGUAGGUCGAGAAGAAGCACCGGCUAACUACGUG